This is a Y RNA of Callithrix jacchus (white-tufted-ear marmoset), 103 nucleotides long. It matches the Rfam family "Y RNA". From Rfam's summary of the family: Y RNAs are components of the Ro ribonucleoprotein particle (Ro RNP), in association with Ro60 and La proteins. NCBI's taxonomy places the organism in Eukaryota, Metazoa, Chordata, Mammalia, Primates, Cebidae. The record is from Ensembl.
GGCUGGUCCAAGUGCAGUGGUGUUUAUAACUAAUUGAUCACAGUUCAGUUACAGAUUUCUUUGUUCCUUCUGCACUUCCACUGCUUCACAUGACUACACUUUA